UUGCGGGGAAUCACAUCAUGUGUUCAUUCACCUGGUACAUGGUGGGACUUCCCCGUAAUC
RNAcentral lists this microRNA precursor (60 nucleotides) under Branchiostoma lanceolatum (amphioxus). RNAcentral's name for it is "Bla-Mir-4872-P11b_pre stem-loop". The record is from RNAcentral. Lineage: Eukaryota; Metazoa; Chordata; Leptocardii; Amphioxiformes; Branchiostomatidae.